This 74-nucleotide transfer RNA is filed under the name Echinostoma caproni. It matches the Rfam family "tRNA". From Rfam's summary of the family: Transfer RNA (tRNA) molecules are approximately 80 nucleotides in length. Lineage: Eukaryota; Metazoa; Platyhelminthes; Trematoda; Plagiorchiida; Echinostomatidae. The record is from Rfam by way of RNAcentral.
GGCAUCGUAGCUCAGCUGGUAGAGCGUGAGCUGUAGGUGGCGACUAUGCAUGGGUUAGAAUCUCAUCGAGGCUA